GAAAUGCGAUAAGUAAUGUGAAUUGCAGAAUUCAGUGAAUCAUCGAAUCUUUGAACGCAUCUUGCGCUCCUUGGUAUUCCGAGGAGCAUGCCUGUUUGAGUGUCAUUUAACUUCUCAACCACGUUGGAUAUUUUUUUCCGAUGCUGGCUUGGAUGUGGGGGUUGUUUGCAGGCUUUUUGUAACAAAAAGGUCGGCUCCCCUGAAAUGUAUUAGUGGUAUCUGAGGCUGUUACUAUUAGGUGUGAUAAUUAUCUAUGCCUUUUGGGUAUGCCGCAUGAACAGAUUGCACUGCUUCUAACCAAAAAUGAUUUUGAUAAAUUUGACCUCAAAUCAGGUAGGACUACCCGCUGAACUUAA
Molecule: unclassified non-coding RNA, 356 nt
Filed under: uncultured Inocybe
Lineage: Eukaryota; Fungi; Basidiomycota; Agaricomycetes; Agaricales; Cortinariaceae
Description: sequence contains ITS1
Rfam family: 5.8S ribosomal RNA (bases 1-105)
Source: RNAcentral